GUGUACAUGCCUCUCCUCAGGAUGCUCCACACACUGUCUCAUGCCCCACGCAGCACAGUGAAGUCAUUUAAGAGACAGCUGAACCUUCACUAGUGCUCUUGUAUUCCCUACCAGAUUGUGCAGCUCCUAAUCAGGAAAACCAAAAGCCAUCCAACAGGUAGAUGGGUGUAUUUUGCUGAUCAACACGCCCACAUGAGAGGAUUAUUUAAGGAAGCACACAUUCCCUGGCAGUCAUCUGUUUAACUAGCUGUUAACAGGUAGCAUAUCUCUUCUGAAGAAACUACAGCAAAUUGUUGCUCACAACUGUCCUAUUGUGCAGCUCCUAAUCAGGAAAACCAAAAGCCAUCCAACAGGUUGUGGAGAUAUGAGGUAUGAUAAGAGACCACCCUCUCCCUAUGGCAAAUCCCAUUAUAAAAACACCAUCAGGGUAAGGCUCGGCAAAUGGCGAUCUUGGGUUAUACAAACUCAAAGGAACCCAAUUUCUUUAGCUAAGACUGUUGUGCAUCUAAAGAGAG
This is a long non-coding RNA of Polyodon spathula (Mississippi paddlefish), 515 nucleotides long. RefSeq lists it as uncharacterized. The record is from RefSeq and is a predicted model, not a curated record. Lineage: Eukaryota; Metazoa; Chordata; Actinopteri; Acipenseriformes; Polyodontidae. The transcript has 4 exons.